GGGAAUGUGGCUUAGUGGUAGAGUGCUUGCUCAGCAUGCAUGAAGCCCUGGGUUCGAAUCCUCAGCACCA
RNAcentral lists this transfer RNA (70 nucleotides) under Dipodomys ordii (Ord's kangaroo rat). It matches the Rfam family "tRNA". From Rfam's summary of the family: Transfer RNA (tRNA) molecules are approximately 80 nucleotides in length. Lineage: Eukaryota; Metazoa; Chordata; Mammalia; Rodentia; Heteromyidae. The record is from Rfam by way of RNAcentral.